GGUUCAGCCCCUUUGAUUCGGUUCAGCCCCUUUGAUUCGCCUUCAGCCCUUUUGAUUCGGUUCAGCCCCUUUGAUUCGGUUCAGCCCCUUUGAUUCGGUUCAGCCCCUUUGAUUCGGCUUCAGCCCCUUUGAUUCGGUUCAGCCCCUUUGAUUCGGUUCAGCCCCUUUGAUUCGGCUUCACCCCGGUGUCUUUCUGUCCUCAGUUUCAUCCCUUUCUCAUAUUUUACUCACUGGCACACAACAACACAAGAUGACUUAGAAAGCCUAGCUGGCCGUGGACCAUUGCUCUUUGGAAACUCGUAGGAUUGGGAUUAUUAUGCUGAAGGUCCUGAUUUACAGGGUAUCCAAUAAGGACUUGGAGAUAUAUUUCCACCACAGUCUACCACAUCACCCUUUAGCCUAUAUCCAUACAUCCUGUUUGAAAUGCUCUCCGAGACUAAGCCCUGCAUGUAUUCUUCUUGAGCCCAGUCAACAGUGGCCAUGUGUGUGGGUAAAUAUUUAUUGGCAGUUAUCUGCUCUGCUGUGGAUUAAAAGCUUACAAAGGUACAUUACUUUCAAAGUGGAACUCGCUCUCCUUCACGUUCCUUUGUUGCCAGAGAGCACAGUACAGUACAGUAGGUAAUCGUAUUCACAAGUUCUCAGUAAAGUCAACCUACCGUUCUUUUUCACUUCCCUACAGAAAAUUAUUCACACACUAUUGCCUAUAAUGUAUUGUUUUACAAGGAUGUUAUUUCUCAUUGAUAAACAGAUCAUGUAGAAUGUCAGAUUUUUCCUUCAAAGGUCAAUAAACAGUGUGAUUAAAUAAGAGGUCAUUGUGUUCAGAAAAAAGCUCAGUGUGGUCAUAUAGGAGGUCAGUGUGGUCAUAGAAGUGGUCAGUGUGGUCAUAUAGGAGGUCAGUGUGGUCGAAGAAGAGGUCAGUGUGGUCAUAUAGGAGGUCAGUGUGGUCAUAUUAGAGGUCAGUGUGGUCAGAGAAGAGGUCAGUGUGGUCAUAUAGGAGGUCAGUGUGGUCAUAUAGGAGGUCAGUGUGGUCAUAUUGGAGGUCAGUGUGGUCAGAGAAGAGGUCAGUGCGGUCCUCUAAGAAAAAAACUGACAAUAACACUGAUUUAUCACCUAAACUCAAUUUAAGUAAUUCAGCAGACACUCAUAUCUAGAUGAGUGAGACAUGAUGAGACCUUAUCACAUUAAUCUCUAAGAGAAGCUUCUGAUGAUCCUGAUAGACAACGGGCAUUUGGUUUUGGAGGGCAAACAGAGUGGGGGUAGUGUGGGAAAACAUCUGACAGGGAAACAUCUCUGUCGAAGCACACAGUCUAUAUCAGAGAUAAUCUGAAACAGAAAUACUCCCUCCCCUAGAAUCCGCUCUAUCUCUCUCCUACACACACACACACACACAACCCCCCCCCUCCCCCC
Long non-coding RNA from Esox lucius (northern pike), 1407 nucleotides. The record is from Ensembl. Lineage: Eukaryota; Metazoa; Chordata; Actinopteri; Esociformes; Esocidae.